AGAGCGAACGCUGGCGGCAGGCCUAAAACAUGCAAGUCGAACGAGCCCUUCGGGGCUAGUGGCGGACGGGUGAGUAACACGUGGGAACGUGCCUUUUGGUUCGGAACAACUCAGGGAAACUUGAGCUAAUACCGAAUAAGCCCUACGGGGGAAAGAUUUAUCGCCAUUAGAGCGGCCCGCGUCUGAUUAGCUAGUUGGUGAGGUAAAGGCUCACCAAGGCUACGAUCAGUAGCUGGUCUGAGAGGAUGAUCAGCCACACUGGGACUGAGACACGGCCCAGACUCCUACGGGAGGCAGCAGUUAGGAAUCUUGCGCAAUGGGCGAAAGCCUGACGCAGCCAUGCCGCGUGAAUGAUGAAGGUCUUAGGAUUGUAAAAUUCUUUCAGUGGGGAAGAUAAUGACGGUACCCACAGAAGAAGCUCCGGCUAACUUCGUGCCAGCAGCCGC
RNAcentral lists this ribosomal RNA (446 nucleotides) under uncultured bacterium. RNAcentral describes it as "SSU rRNA". It matches the Rfam family "Bacterial small subunit ribosomal RNA", at positions 26 to 518 of the family's 1533-position model. The record is from RNAcentral.